RNAcentral lists this ribosomal RNA (938 nucleotides) under Sphacelotheca destruens. RNAcentral describes it as "partial large subunit ribosomal RNA". It matches the Rfam family "Eukaryotic large subunit ribosomal RNA", at positions 64 to 979 of the family's 3401-position model. The record is from RNAcentral. Lineage: Eukaryota; Fungi; Basidiomycota; Microbotryomycetes; Microbotryales; Microbotryaceae.
ACUAACAAGGAUUCCCCUAGUAACGGCGAGUGAAGAGGGAAGAGCCCAAGAUUGAAAGCUGGCGUCUUCGGCGUCCGCAUUGUAAUCUCAAGAAGUGUUUUCCGCUUCGGACCAUGCCUAAGUCCCUUGGAAAAGGGCAUCAUAGAGGGUGAGAAUCCCGUACAUGGCAUGGAGCGCCCGAGGCUUUGUGAUACGCUUUCUAAGAGUCGAGUUGUUUGGGAAUGCAGCUCAAAAUGGGUGGUAAAUGCCAUCUAAGGCUAAAUAUUGGGGAGAGACCGAUAGCGAACAAGUACAGUGAUGGAAAGAUGAAAAGAACUUUGAAAAGAGAGUUAAACAGUACGUGAAAUUGCCAAAAGGGAAGGGUAGGAGGUCAGAGAUGUGUCUUGGGAUUCAGCCUUGCAUUUUUUGUUUGGUGUUUUUCCCAAGUUUGCAGGCCAACGUCGGUUUUGGGCACUGGAGAAGGGUGGAAGGAACGUGGCACCUCUCGGGGUGUGUUAUAGCCUUCUACUGGAUACAGCGACCGAGACCGAGGACAGCAGCGUACUCGCAAGAGCGGGCCUUCGGGCACCUUUACGCUUAGGGCGUUGGCAUAAUGGCCCUCUACCACCCGUCUUGAAACACGGACCAAGGAGUCUAACAUGUAUGCGAGUCUUUGGGUGGCAAACCCAUAGGCGCAAUGAAAGUGAAUUCAGGUGGGAUCCGCAAGGUGCACCAUCGACCGAUCCUCACGUCUUUUUAAGUCGUGGAUUUGAGUAAGAGCAUACCUGUUGGGACCCGAAAGAUGGUGAACUAUGCCUGAAUAGGGUGAAGCCAGAGGAAACUCUGGUGGAGGCUCGUAGCGGUUCUGACGUGCAAAUCGAUCGUCAAAUUUGGGUAUAGGGGCGAAAGACUAAUCGAACCAUCUAGUAGCUGGUUCCUGCCGAAGUUUCCCUCAGGAU